Molecule: ribosomal RNA, 253 nt
Filed under: uncultured bacterium
Lineage: Bacteria
Description: partial 16S ribosomal RNA
Rfam family: Bacterial small subunit ribosomal RNA
Source: RNAcentral
UACGUAGGGUCCGAGCGUUGCCCGGAAUUAUUGGGCGUAAAGGGCUCGUAGGCGGUUUGUCGCGUCGGGAGUGAAAACACCGGGCUUAACUCGGUGCUUGCUUUCGAUACGGGCAGACUGGAGGUAUGCAGGGGAGAACGGAAUUCCUGGUGUAGCGGUGAAAUGCGCAGAUAUCAGGAGGAACACCGGUGGCGAAGGCGGUUCUCUGGGCAUUACCUGACGCUGAGGAGCGAAAGUGUGGGGAGCGAACAGG